UAGUCCUUUGAAGGUUGAUACCAUGCUGUCAGAGACCAACACAGAAGGGGAAAGUAAGGCUCCAUAAAACCCAGAGAAGAGAUUAUAAAAAGUUCCUCUUUGGGUACUGGAUGCAGUCAAGAGG
Molecule: small nucleolar RNA, 124 nt
Organism: Sorex araneus (European shrew)
Lineage: Eukaryota; Metazoa; Chordata; Mammalia; Eulipotyphla; Soricidae
Source: Ensembl